GAAAUGCGAUAAGUAAUGUGAAUUGCAGAAUUCAGUGAAUCAUCGAAUCUUUGAACGCACAUUGCGCCCCCUGGUAUUCCGGGGGGCAUACCUGUUCGAGCGUCAUUACAUCCCCUCAAGCGUAGCUUGGUCUUGGGCGUCGCUUCCCCCCCCCUUGGGGCAGCGUGCCUUAAAAGUAGCGGCGGACUGGCGUGGCUUUGGACGAAGUAGAGUUCCUCCCGUCCUGAAAGCCUUGCGCCGUGGCCUGCCAAAACCCCAUGAAUCCAUGACGAUCGACCUCGGAUCAGGUAGGGAUACCCGCUGAACUUAA
RNAcentral lists this unclassified non-coding RNA (310 nucleotides) under uncultured Lecanorales. RNAcentral's name for it is "sequence contains ITS1". The stretch from base 1 to 105 matches the Rfam family "5.8S ribosomal RNA", at positions 50 to 154 of the family's 154-position model. The record is from RNAcentral. Lineage: Eukaryota; Fungi; Ascomycota; Lecanoromycetes.